CUUGGAUAACUGCGGUAAUUCUGGAGCUAAUACAUGCACAAAGCCCCGAACUUACGUGAGGGGCGCUUUUAUUAGAUCAAAACCGAACGGCUCCGGCUGCUCUCUUGGUGACUCUGAAUAACUUUGGGCUGAUCGCAUAGCCUAGCGCUGGCGACAUAUCCUUCGAAGGUGUGCCCUAUCAACUGUCGACUGUGGCAUAGACGCCCACAGUGGUUUUGACGGGUAACGGGGAAUCAGGGUUCGAUUCCGGAGAGGGAGCCUUAAAAACGGCUACCACAUCUAAGGAAGGCAGCAGGCACGCAAAUUACCCAAUGACCGAAGGUCGAGGUAGUGACGAAAAAUAACGAUACGGGACUCAUCUGAGGCCCCGUAAUCGGAAUGAGUACACUUUAAAACCGUCCCCGAGGAUCUAUUGGAGGGCAAGUCUGGUGCCAGCAGCCGCGGUAAUUCCAGCUCCAAUAGCGUAUAUUAAAGUUGUUGUGGUUAAAAAGCUCGUAGUUGGAUCUCGGCGGUCUGAGGGCGGUUCACUUGCUAGUGCUACUGCCCUAUAGACCGUAGUUUUGCCAGAGGUCUCAGGGUGCUCUUAACCGAGUGUCUUGUGAUGCUGGCAGGUUUACUUUGAAAAAAUUAGAGUGCUCAAAGCAGGCUUUUACGCCUGAAUAUUCGUGCAUGGAAUAAUAGAAUAGGAAGUCGUUUCUAUUUUGUUGGUUUUCGGAAAUCGACUUAAUGAUUAAUAGGGACAGUCGGGGGCAUUUGUAUUCAAACGACAGAGGUGAAAUUCUUGGACCGUUUGAAGACAAACUACUGCGAAAGCAUUUGCCAAGAAUGUUUUCAUUAAUCAAGAACGAAAGUUAGAGGUUCGAAGGCGAUUAGAUACCGCCCUAGUUCUAACCAUAAACGAUGCCAGCUAGCGAUCUGCCGACGUUUUUUUUGUAGACUCGGCAGGAAGCUUCCGGGAAACCAAAGCAUUUGGGUUCCAGGGGAAGUAUGGUUGCAAAGCUGAAACUUAAAGGAAUUGACGGAAGGGCACCACCAGGAGUGGAGCCUGUGGCUUAAUUUGACUCAACACGGGAAAUCUCACCAGGCCCGGACACUGGAAGGAUUGACAGAUUGAUAGCUCUUUCUUGAUUCGGUGGGUGGUGGUGCAUGGCCGUUCUUAGUUGGUGGAGUGAUUUGUCUGGUUAAUUCCGAUAACGAACGAGACUCUGUCCUGCUAAAUAGUGUCCGCCUCUCUUUUGGGCGGACAAUUCUUCUUAGAGGGACUGGCGACUCUCAGUCGCACGAGAUUGAGCAAUAACAGGUCUGUGAUGCCCUUAGAUGUUCUGGGCCGCACACGCGCUACACUGAAUAGAUCAACGUGUUCCCCCUUUCCGAGAGGAACGGGUAAACCGCUGAACCCUAUUCGUGGUAGGGAUCGGGGCUUGCAAUUGUUCCCCGUAAACCAGGAAUUCCCAGUAGGCGCAAGUCAUAAGCUUGUGUCGAUUACGUCCCUGCCCUUUGUACACACCGCCCGUCGCUACUACCGAUUGAACGUUUUAGUGAGGUCCUCGGACUGUUUGGUAGGCGGAUGACUCUGCCUGC
RNAcentral lists this ribosomal RNA (1581 nucleotides) under Scolecitrichopsis sp. LM23. RNAcentral's name for it is "SSU rRNA". It matches the Rfam family "Eukaryotic small subunit ribosomal RNA", at positions 138 to 1743 of the family's 1831-position model. Lineage: Eukaryota; Metazoa; Arthropoda; Copepoda; Calanoida; Scolecitrichidae. The record is from RNAcentral.